This is a long non-coding RNA of Papaver somniferum (opium poppy), 2216 nucleotides long. RefSeq lists it as uncharacterized. The record is from RefSeq and is a predicted model, not a curated record. The transcript has 13 exons. Lineage: Eukaryota; Viridiplantae; Streptophyta; Magnoliopsida; Ranunculales; Papaveraceae.
CUUUUAUUAUUUUUUUCUCUCUCGCAUCUCUUUUCACAGCUGAUCGAACUCACCUCUUUCUUUCCUUUUUUUUCGCUCCAAAUUUAAACAUUAGCUCUCGUUGGACCUCCAUCAUCUCCUUCUUCAACAAUAAAUUCAGAUCUGGAAGGUGAAAUAGAAGUCAAUACCUCCAUCAUCCUCUUCUUCUACAAUGGAUCCAGAUCCAGAUAAGUCAAACUCACCUCUUUCUCUGGUGUUUUCAAUCAUAAAAUUCAUCUUGCGAUUAAUUGGGGUAAUUAUCUACUAGUGAAUAUUCUUAAUCAUCUUCAAUUGCAGAAAUUUAAUUUUUACUGUUAGGGUUGGGGUGGAUUUUCAAGCUUUUGAUUUUUCGGGUAUUAGUUUCGAUUAAGUGUUAUUUUUCUUGAUUAGGGAUGCGUUUACUUUAAAUGGUUCCUAUUGUGAUUCCUGAUGAUGAUGGUGAUGAAGUACAAGAUGACACAGUUUGCUAAUAAGAUUGCUUGUUACAUUGCUUAUCUGUUCUGUAAGGUGACGAAAUAGAAGAUGACUCAGUUUGCUAAUAAAGCUGGUGCUCUUAGUGAUGAAAUCACUAUUGUUCCUGAUAAGAGUGGUAGCUGAAUUGGAGAUAAAGAAGUUAGCGUACAUUGCUGAUGGAGUAGAAUACUACCUUUGAGAUGAAUGAGAUACCUUUGCCUCAAUGGAGGCCCGACCUGUAAACAAGAAGAUCCUAGAAGCUCCUACUUUACCAGCAUUACCAAGAAGUACCCCUCAUCUACCAGAGUUUCAGGAGUUUCAUUUGGAAACAUCAGAGAGGGCUAAUCAGCAUGCUUAAACUCAACAGUUGUAACAUCAAAUGAAUCUUCAAAUUGCAGUAUUAUCCUUAUUUGUUUCUCUUCUUAGUUGUCUUUGUGGACCAUAUGUUUCAUCUAUUUCUGGUAAUGCAAAUUAAAGUGAAAAUUUUGUUCAUGGUGUUAUUUAUAAACUUGUUGCCUGCUACAGGUAGUACAUUUUAGCUGGAAGAAGGACUCCCCUGAGAGUUGGCGUGGAUAUCCUAGCCAGGUUCACGCCAUUCUCCUGGAUUAUUCUUGCUCUGGUGCUAGAACUUUUGUUGACAGGUCGGAUCAUGUUCUUCCAUCAUAUACUGCAGGAAACACUACUCAACUUGCUACUUCGCAAUUACUUCGAUCAUAACACUUCAUAAUGGUGCCACCUGCAUUCCAAGUUCGAGUAGUAUAGGCAUGACCAUGUCAGUUCAUUAGCCAAUGCAAUAACAACUGAAGACGGAGUUAAUUUUAUAAGUAUAACUGGUUCAAUGCUCACACCUAAGUCCUUCAAUCAGCUCGGAUACAUCUAAUAGUCUCCCAAGUCCUGAUUCGUUGAUAUCUGCUUGGAUUAUUAACUGAUUUUUUGUUCGAAUUUUCCUCCUAAUAACUGGAUCUGGAAAUUUGAGACCACAUUCGGUUCCGACAAUGGCGUAUAAUAAAUAUAUAAGGGGAAGCGUGUUUGAAUCCUAAUAGUAGAAGGAUCUUGGAAUGUUGCUUAACCAGAUUUAAUGUAACCAACUUCAGUCAAUUAAAUCCUUUCAUUAAUGCCUAUGUGGUGGUGUAGUGUCUUAGUCAAACAUCUACAAAUUCCUCUGUUCAUUCCAGACAUUGAACCAGCUCUUAAUUAAUCCUAUCGAGCACAAGGUUUAAAAGAAAGGGAUUUUGCUCUUCGACUACUAGAUCUCAAGCAUCUCUCCAUCUAUGCAAUGGUUACUUGCUCUUUUAAGUUAUGUAUUAUAAAUCGUAAUGCUUCGUUCUGAGCCUCAAGCUCAGUUUUCAGCAGGCGUUCAGGCAUUAGGCUGAUGUUGAAAGUGGUUGAGGCUAUUCCAAAGAAUCCUGAUGACAAAACUCAGAUAUCUUUGCUAUAUGCUAACAUCUCACCAGACGACAUACCACUGAAGCAAAACUUGACAUACUCUUAGCUAGCAAUCCAGAUUUGAAGUUGAUUUUUGCAUCUUUAGUGGGAAGGUCUUCCUUACAUUUCUCCGGUAAUCCUGAUGUUGUUAGCAGUUCAAUGAGAAGAGACAAAUAUUUGCUUUUGAAAACCAUAAUUCAUAUUUGAUAUCCUUUUUUUCUAUGAACUUGAUUCUAAGUAUGUAACGAAACCAAUGAAUCAAUGAAUGUUAAAUUGAAUGAGUAUUUGUGGGCAAGUUUAAUUUGAUUCUCAUUUGAAUU